UACAGAGGUCCCGAGCGUUGUUCGGAUUCACUGGGCGUAAAGGGUGCGCAGGUGGGUUGGCAAGUUUGAUGUGAAAGCUCAGGGCUUAACCCUGAAAUGGCAUUGAAUACUGUUGGGCUGGAGGUUUGGAGGGGGGACUGGAAUUCUUGGUGUAGCAGUGAAAUGCGCAGAUAUCAGGAGGAACACCGAUGGCGAAGGCAGGUCUCUGGGCAGUUACUGACGCUGAGGAGCGAAAGCAUGGGGAGCGAACAGG
This 253-nucleotide ribosomal RNA is filed under the name uncultured prokaryote. RNAcentral describes it as "partial 16S ribosomal RNA". It matches the Rfam family "Bacterial small subunit ribosomal RNA", at positions 524 to 776 of the family's 1533-position model. The record is from RNAcentral.